UCACCCCCAAUUUGGGGAGUUGGGUUCGCACCAGAAGUACUUAGUCUAACCUUAGGGAGAGACAGAUUACCACGGUGUGUUUCAUGACUGGGGUGAAGUCGUAACAAGGUAACCAAA
This 117-nucleotide ribosomal RNA is filed under the name uncultured bacterium. RNAcentral's name for it is "partial 16S ribosomal RNA". The record is from RNAcentral.